This 413-nucleotide RNase P RNA is filed under the name Cyclobacteriaceae bacterium. Its description in RNAcentral is "RNase P RNA component class A". It matches the Rfam family "Bacterial RNase P class A". Rfam says of the family: Ribonuclease P (RNase P) is a ubiquitous endoribonuclease, found in archaea, bacteria and eukarya as well as chloroplasts and mitochondria. Its best characterised activity is the generation of mature 5'-ends of tRNAs by cleaving the 5'-leader elements of precursor-tRNAs. Cellular RNase Ps are ribonucleoproteins. The record is from RNAcentral. Lineage: Bacteria; Pseudomonadati; Bacteroidota; Cytophagia; Cytophagales; Cyclobacteriaceae.
AUGGCAGACCGCCUUAUCGUUCCGAAGUAACUUCGGAAAGGAAAGUCCGGGCAACAUAGAGCAACGCACUUCCUAACAGGAAGGUGCUGUUGAAAAACAGCAACAGAAAGUGCCGCAGAAAACAAACUACCCUGAUUAACCUUGGUUUUUCAGGGAAAAGGUGAAAAGGUGGAGUAAGAGCCCACCGCAUUGGUGGUGACACCAAUGGCAUGGUAAACCUUGCGUGUUGAAAGAUCAAAUAGAUUCUGCCCUUUACCAACAGGUAGAGGCCAAUUAGCUCGGUUGGAGCGCCUUUGUGCAAAGCAGAAUGGGUAGAUCGAUAGACUUUGAUGGUAACGUCAAAGCCAGAUAAAUGAUAAGGGUUUCGAACAUAGUUCGGAAAACAGAACCCGGCUUACAGGUCUGCUUUUUUC